This 253-nucleotide ribosomal RNA is filed under the name uncultured bacterium. Its description in RNAcentral is "partial 16S ribosomal RNA". It matches the Rfam family "Bacterial small subunit ribosomal RNA", at positions 524 to 776 of the family's 1533-position model. The record is from RNAcentral.
UACAGAGGUCCCGAGCGUUGUUCGGAUUCAUUGGGCGUAAAGGGUGCGUAGGCGGCGGGGUAAGUCUGAUGUGAAAUCCUGGGGCUCAACCCCAGAACUGCAUUGGAUACUGCCUUGCUAGAGUACUGGAGAGGAAACUGGAAUUUACGGUGUAGCAGUGAAAUGCGUAGAUAUCGUAAGGAAGACCAGUGGCGAAGGCGGGUCUCUGGACAGUUCCUGACGCUGAGGCACGAAGGUCAGGGGAGCAAACGGG